AAAAAUAGAGCAUUCCAGGGGUAAAGUGUCAAAAAUACAGUUGAAAUGGUAACCAGUGCAAAAUUUGCAAGGCAUGAAUAGUGGUUGCUAAAUUUGGCAACGGGCACUAUUCACGCAGCACUAUUCACAGGCACUAUUCAUCUUCUUCUCCAAUGCUUACUUUGAAUUUGAGUUUUCAUUUUUAACGGUUUAAAAUUCAGAAAAAGGGUAUGGUUUUAAUGGAAACAUGAUUCUAAAUGCAAUGGAGUAAGUUUGGGAGCCUAAAACACAUUUCAAGAUAGAGAUUUUUGCAAAAAUGGUGGCUGGCCAUGUGGGUCUUUGAUUUGAAAAAAUGGAUUUUUGAAAUGGUUUUAAUGGAUGAAAAUGCAUGUUUAUGGUUCCUAAAACAUAGAAAUGACAUAAACAAGCAAUUUAAGGAGCCAAAAAUGGAGAAAAAUGAAAAAUUACUCACCUUGGAACAAUGAAGCACGCGGCCUAGAGAGGAAAUGCAAGGGGAAUAGUGUUUUAUGCAUGAAAAAUGAAGUUGAGAAGGCUUUAAAAAGGGUUUUUGGCCAUGAAAUUUUUUUUGAAAAUUUGUCUAAGUACGGGGAUGAAUUGAGGAGUGUUAAAACUACAAAAUUGAAGUUUGAAAAUGAAUUUAAAAAGAAUCAAAUCCUUGGUAAGCAUGAAGAAAAAAUUUCGUAAGGUGAAAAUUCACCUUGCCAAAUUUUCGCACUGGCUACUCCCCUUAAAAACCAAUCCCGAGAGGUUGCAUUUUGAUAUUUGCUUUGAAAACAAU
RNAcentral lists this long non-coding RNA (778 nucleotides) under Vitis vinifera (wine grape). RNAcentral describes it as "long non-coding RNA (VVIN_LNC002187)". Lineage: Eukaryota; Viridiplantae; Streptophyta; Magnoliopsida; Vitales; Vitaceae. The record is from RNAcentral.